RNAcentral lists this ribosomal RNA (253 nucleotides) under uncultured bacterium. RNAcentral's name for it is "partial 16S ribosomal RNA". It matches the Rfam family "Bacterial small subunit ribosomal RNA", at positions 524 to 776 of the family's 1533-position model. The record is from RNAcentral.
UACGGAGGGUGCAAGCGUUGCUCGGAAUUAUUGGGCGUAAAGGGUAGGUAGGUGGUCUCAUUUGUCUGGGGUGAAAGCCUUGAGCUUAACUCAAGAAGUGCCCCAGAAACGGUGAGACUCGAGUCUUGGAGAGGGUCGUGGAAUUCCCGGUGUAGCGGUGAAAUGCGUAGAGAUCGGGAGGAACACCAGAGGCGAAAGCGGCGACCUGGACAAGUACUGACACUCAACUACGAAAGCGUGGGGAGCAAACAGG